GACGAACGCUGGCGGCGUGCCUAAUACAUGCAAGUCGAACGCUAAAGGAGGAGCUUGCUUCUCUGGAUGAGUUGCGAACGGGUGAGUAACACGUAGGUAACCUGCCUUGUAGCGGGGGAUAACUAUUGGAAACGAGAGCUAAUACCGCAUAAUAGUAGAUGUUGCAUGACAUUUGCUGAAAAGGUGCAAUUGCAUCACUACCAGAUGGACCUGCGUUGUAUUAGCUUGGUGGUGGGGUAACGGCUCACCAAGGCGGCGAUCCAGCGCCGCAGGGAGAGGGGGAUUAGCCACACUGAGAGUGAGACAGGGCACAUAGGGCUUGGGGAGGGAGCAGUAGUGCAACGGCGGCAAUGGGUGGAAGACUGACCGAGCAGCGCCGCGGCAGGGAGCAAGGACGUCGGGUCGGAAAGCUCUGUUGUAAGAGAAGAAAGAGUGUGAGAGUGGAAAGUAGACUGUGUGACGGUAACUGAUCAGAAAGCAACGGCUAACUACGUG
This 495-nucleotide ribosomal RNA is filed under the name uncultured bacterium. RNAcentral describes it as "partial 16S ribosomal RNA". It matches the Rfam family "Bacterial small subunit ribosomal RNA", at positions 28 to 507 of the family's 1533-position model. The record is from RNAcentral.